AGAAGGAGAGAUAAAAUUCAACUUUUGCUACCCAUUCUUUCUCUUUUUGCUUUCCAUACACUUCAGAUGGGAAUUUUUCUGUGUGUAUUUAUUUUGUUUGUGUUAUCUUGCUAACUAUAAGUUUAUGCUGACCGACAGGGGGAAAAAAGCUGCCUAUUCUGACUGCAGUGACCAAAGGAGUUCAGUUGUUCAAUUCACACCCAAACAUCUUUCUUCCAUUUAGAAACAUCCUAGUAUUUAAGGCCUUCUACUAUAAGCCCAUUACUAGUUCAUUUCCUUUCUAUUUCAUUUUUGUAUGCUCAUAUUUGUGUUCUCUGUUCCUA
RNAcentral lists this long non-coding RNA (323 nucleotides) under Vulpes vulpes (red fox). RNAcentral's name for it is "Deleted in lymphocytic leukemia 1 conserved region 2 (ENSVVUG00000028106.1)". It matches the Rfam family "Deleted in lymphocytic leukemia 1 conserved region 2". Lineage: Eukaryota; Metazoa; Chordata; Mammalia; Carnivora; Canidae. The record is from RNAcentral.